AGACUUUGAUCAUGGCUCAGAUUGAACGCUAGCGGGAUGCUUUACACAUGCAAGUCGAACGGCAGCAUGAGAGAGCUUGCUCUCUUGAUGGCGAGUGGCGGACGGGUGAGUAAUGUAUCGGAACGUGCCCGGUAGUGGGGGAUAACUACGCGAAAGCGUAGCUAAUACCGCAUAUUCUCUACGGAGGAAAGAGGGGGAUCGUAAGACCUCUUGCUACCGGAGCGGCCGAUAUCAGAUUAGCUAGUUGGUGGGGUAACGGCCUACCAAGGCGGUGAUCUGUAGCUGGUUUGAGAGGACGACCAGCCACACUGGGACUGAGACACGGCCCAGACUCCUACGGGAGGCAGCAGUGGGGAAUUUUCGACAAUGGGGGGAACCCUGAUCGAGCCAUCUCGCGUGUGGGACAAGGCCUUCCGGUUGUAAACCACUUUUCUCAACCAA
This 441-nucleotide ribosomal RNA is filed under the name uncultured bacterium. RNAcentral's name for it is "bacterial SSU rRNA". It matches the Rfam family "Bacterial small subunit ribosomal RNA", at positions 8 to 446 of the family's 1533-position model. The record is from RNAcentral.